RNAcentral lists this ribosomal RNA (536 nucleotides) under uncultured eukaryote. RNAcentral's name for it is "partial 18S ribosomal RNA". It matches the Rfam family "Eukaryotic small subunit ribosomal RNA", at positions 443 to 874 of the family's 1831-position model. The record is from RNAcentral.
AUUCAAUGGAAACAAUUUUCCGAAAUAGUGACAAAAAUAUCAAUGCUAGGUACUACGUAUUAGUAAUUGGAAUGAGUACAAUUUAAAAUCCCUUAACAAGUAACAAUUAGAGGGCAAGUCUGGUGCCAGCAGCCGCGGUAAUUCCAGCUCUAAUAGCGUAUAUUAAUAUUGUUGCAGUUAAAAAGCUCGUAGUUGAAAUUUGGAACUUUAUUGUAUUGGUUUAUCUUUUGAUGAACUGUAUGAUGGGUUUCUUCCUACUAGAGUUCGAUUCUGUUCUUAGCUGAAUGGAGUAGCUAUCUCUCGGGGUAGUCAGUUGGUUGUUAUAUCUCCACUAAUAAGCAGAGAGGGGUUAAACCUUUGAAGUAAGUUAUGUGGAUCAAGGUAUGGUGAUUAAUUGGAGUUCUAGUUCAUUUACUUUGAGAAAAUUAGAGUGUUUAAAGCAGCCUCUUGGGGGCACUGAAUACAUUAGCAUGGGAUAAUAAAAUAGGAUCUUCACAAUAUAUUUUAUUGGUUUAAAUUGGAUAUGAAGAUAAUGA